Molecule: non-coding RNA, 92 nt
Organism: Paramuricea clavata
Lineage: Eukaryota; Metazoa; Cnidaria; Anthozoa; Malacalcyonacea; Plexauridae
Source: the annotation of a GenBank genome assembly
CCCAAAUUCUUAUAGGAAUUUUUUCUACAGGAAUUCCUAUAGGAAUUUUUCCUAUAGGAAUUCCUAUAGAAAAAAUUCCUAUAGGAAUUUUU